CAGUGUACCCGCGGCAAGACGGAAAGACCCCGUGAACCUUUACUAUAGCUUGACACUGAACAUUGAGCCUUGAUGUGUAGGAUAGGUGGGAGGCUUUGAAGCGUGGACGCCAGUCUGCGUGGAGCCGACCUUGAAAUACCACCCUUUAAUGUUUGAUGUUCUAACGUGGACCCGUUACCCGGGUUGCGGACAGUGUCUGGUGGGUAGUUUGACUGGGGCGGUCUCCUCCUAAAGAGUAACGGAGGAGCACGAAGGUUGGCUAAUCCUGGUCGGACAUCAGGAGGUUAGUGCAAUGGCAUAAGCCAGCUUGACUGCGAGCGUGACGGCGCGAGCAGGUGCGAAAGCAGGUCAUAGUGAUCCGGUGGUUCUGAAUGGAAGGGCCAUCGCUCAACGGAUAAAAGGUACUCCGGGGAUAACAGGCUGAUACCGCCCAAGAGUUCAUAUCGACGGCGGUGUUUGGCACCUCGAUGUCGGCUCAUCACAUCCUGGGGCUGAAGUAGGUCCCAAGGGUAUGGCUGUUCGCCAUUUAAAGUGGUACGCGAGCUGGGUUUAGAACGUCGUGAGACAGUUCGGUCCCUAUCUGCCGUGGGCGCUGGAGAACUGAGGGGGGCUGCUCCUAGUACGAGAGGACCGGAGUGGACGCAUCACUGGUGUUCGGGUUGUCAUGCCAAUGGCACUGCCCGGUAGCUAAAUGCGGAAGAGAUAAGUGCUGAAAGCAUCUAAGCACGAAACUUGCCCCGAGAUGAGUUCUCCCUGAGACUUAAAGUCUCCUGAAGGAACGUUGAAGACGACGACGUUGAUAGGCCGGGUGUGUAAGCGCAGCGAUGCGUUGAGCUAACCGGUACUAAUGAACCGUGAGGCUUAACCUUA
This 870-nucleotide ribosomal RNA is filed under the name Salmonella enterica subsp. enterica serovar Braenderup. Its description in RNAcentral is "partial 23S ribosomal RNA". It matches the Rfam family "Bacterial large subunit ribosomal RNA", at positions 2062 to 2925 of the family's 2925-position model. The record is from RNAcentral. Lineage: Bacteria; Pseudomonadati; Pseudomonadota; Gammaproteobacteria; Enterobacterales; Enterobacteriaceae.